UGGAUCCAGACUUUGAUUAUGGCUCAGGAUGAACGCUGGCGGCAUGCCUAAUACAUGCAAGUCGAACGGAGUUGAUUAACCAGCUUGCUGGAUAGUGAACUGAGUGGCGAACGGGUGAGUAACACGUAGGGAACCUGCCCAUAUACCCGGGAUAACAAGCGGAAACGGUUGCUAAAACCGGAUGGGUAAAAAGGAGGCAUCUUCUUUUUAUGAAAGCACCUUCGGGUGUGGAUAUGGAUGGACCUGCGGCGUAUUAGCCAGUUGGCGGGGUAACGGCCCACCAAAGCGAUGAUACGUAGCCGGCCUGAGAGGGUAAACGGCCACAUUGGGACUGAGACACGGCCCAAACUCCUACGGGAGGCAGCAGUAGGGAAUUUUCGUCAAUGGGGGGAACCCUGAACGAGCAAUGCCGCGUGAGUGAAGAAGGUUUUCGGAUCGUAAAGCUCUGUUGUAAGAGAAAAAGGGUGCUUAGAGGAAAUGGUAAGCACUUGAUGGUAUCUUACGAGGAAGCCACGGCUAACUACGUGCCAGCAGCCGCGGUAAUACGUAGGUGGCGAGCGUUAUCCGGAAUGAUUGGGCGUAAAGGGUGCGCAGGCGGUUGUAUCAGUCUGAAGUAAAAGGCAUCGGCUUAACCGGUGUAAGCUUUGGAAACUGUAUAACUAGAGUGCAGGAGAGGGCAGUGGAAUUCCAUGUGUAGCGGUAAAAUGCGUAGAUAUAUGGAGGAACACCAGUGGCGAAGGCGGCUGCCUGGCCUGUAACUGACGCUGAGGCACGAAAGCGUGGGGAGCAAAUAGGAUUAGAUACCCUAGUAGUCCACGCUGUAAACGAUGAGAACUAAGUGUUGGAGAGAAUUCAGUGCUGCAGUUAACGCAAUAAGUUCUCCGCCUGGGGAGUAUGCACGCAAGUGUGCAACUCAAAUGAAUUGACGGA
RNAcentral lists this ribosomal RNA (930 nucleotides) under uncultured Bacillota bacterium. RNAcentral describes it as "bacterial SSU rRNA". It matches the Rfam family "Bacterial small subunit ribosomal RNA", at positions 1 to 917 of the family's 1533-position model. The record is from RNAcentral. Lineage: Bacteria; Bacillati; Bacillota.